Acipenser ruthenus (sterlet) is the source of this 2170-nucleotide long non-coding RNA. RefSeq lists it as uncharacterized. The transcript is spliced from 5 exons. NCBI's taxonomy places the organism in Eukaryota, Metazoa, Chordata, Actinopteri, Acipenseriformes, Acipenseridae. The record is from RefSeq and is a predicted model, not a curated record.
UUCAUGGAAUUAGCAGUUAUUGGUUCAUUAAACUAAAUUACUAGAGCUAUUAUCUAAAAUAUCUGAACACUCCAUCUCACUUACUUCCUCUCUACAAAACGACUUUAAAAAAAAAAAAUUAAAAAAGGGAAAAAAUCCUUCCAGGAUACUAGUCCAGAAUCAAUUUUGAAUCAGAAUGGAAGUCAAAUUUAACAUUUUUAAAUAUUAAAAAAAAAAAAAACAUAAAGAUCACUAAUUGCAUGAUGCAAAGCUGGAAGGAAAAUAUUAUGCUGGUGCUAUCAACCCUUGGCUAUGUAAAAUUAAUUUCUAAUCAGCCGCAGCAUGUUCACAGAGAAGCUAACCUGUCUGCAACACUGUUUCAAUGCUUGCAGGAGGUACUCAUAACCAACUAACCAUCUAUCAAGCACUGAAACAGCAAGAAAGCACUGUAGUCUGUACACAUUUGAAGGUUAGAUAACUAAAAAUCUGUUAUUACAGCAUGGUUGGAGCAAUAUCACAUAUUGUACUAGGAUGAUCCCUUAAUAUAAGACUUUAGUCCAAUAGUUUAGAAAUAGACCGUUGACAUGCUGUAUAGGGCUAAAUGCAGUCAUGUUUUGAGGUUUACAGAACAUUCACAGUUGAACUGAGUUACCAGGUCCCCUUUUUCUCGCUCUUCAACUGAUUCUGUUUUAAGAAUCAAUAGAGAGCAACCAAGGAUCCUAAUGAGAAAAAUGACCUGCUUUCUUAAUGAUGGAGUUUCAUGAAUACUGGAGACCCCCACUGGGAUUAGCUGCUGCUGCUGCUGCUGUUCAAAUCACUGCUGGCAGAGGAAAGGGUUGAUGGGAACGCAAGAAGACACACUAAGGACAAGGCAAAUAGCAGGAGUUUUCAUCAUGUGCUACUAAUAAGAAUGGCUGCAUCAACGAUGAACAGAUAGAUGGCAUUACAAAGAUGGCUCCAGUUGUAGCUCUGUAUGCCGGAAAACCAGAAAUGUUGGAGAAAGUUGAGGAGAUAAUUCGAGUCACACAGAACAGUGAUACCUGUGACAGAGACAUUGGCUGCUGCAAGACUCCUGGAAUAUUACAUCCUGCAUGGUACAGAUGAGAAGGCUCUGGAUAGUGUGAUAGAGCAGCUCAUGGACAAGAAUAGAAUGAACCCUCAGGAUCUAGACAGAGCUGUGGUUGGGCACUUACAGCAAGUGAAGGCCAACCUCAUGAAGUCACAAAAAGAGGCGAUACCUGCAGUGUUCACAAACACAUGAGCCUUGCCCGCUGCAUUCCAGGCAGUGCUACCUGUAGUCCUGACUGAAAGCGUGUUCGAUUAGGCCGUCCAUAACACCGCUAAAGUACAUGGAUCCUAAUGUACACUUGGUCCUAACUGAAAUACUCCAUUAUUUCAGAAAUACUCUUUUUAUUUUCUCAGUGUACUAGUAUUUUUUCUCAGUAUAAUGCUACAUUUGCAGUUUGAUAUGAAUAGUUAAUGAAAGGUCACACUCACAGAUUAGAAGGUGGGAACUUGAUGUACAACUUCAAUUUAAGCUGUAUUAUGUAGCCUUAACUGCAUGGAAUUGAUCAGCAUUGGGAUUAUCGGUUACAAUUUUCACCUUAUCUGGCCUUUUUUCUCUUUUUCACAAAUCAAAAUAAUAAAACAUGAAUGUUGUGUCUGUUGUUUUAAUUGAUGCUGCUUGUGGAAGAGCUGUGUUUGCAGGUUGACAAAACAGUCCAAAUGGGUGGCAGAAAGUUGGGUAAUAAAGGUGUGGAGUAGCCAUACAUUUGAAGUUUGGUUAGCAAAACACAACUAGCAGUAUUUCUAAAUCACUCUGUUGUUCAUACUAAAUCAGAUUACUACAAACCUACUUGAGACAUUUCCUUUUGAAAAGCAAAAUCAUGUUCACCACAUUACCAAAAGACAGCAAUUGUUUUUGGCCAAUCAUGUGACAACUUUGGACAGCUGCUAAAAAUCAACACUGUUAUUCAUAAACACUUACAGACCAUGUGCUUUCUCAUAACACCACCAAUAGGGUGAAGGAAUUGUUUUUGUUGUGUGUACUGGGCUUUAAACUCAUUAGUACUUCAAAAUCAUGCCUUGUUCUGGUUCAUCCAGAAAUAUAGGUGGUGUUGCCCUUCUGGUCCUUAGUGAUACAAUCAGUAAAUACAUGCAUUGUUAUUACAAAAUGAUAAGCAGCUAAAUU